UACGGAGGGUGCGAGCGUUGUUCGGAAUCACUGGGCGUAAAGGGCGUGUAGGCGGUCCGCUAAGUCUGAUGUGAAAGCCCGGGGCUCAACCCCGGAAGUGCAUUGGAAACUGGCGGACUCGAGUCCCGGAGAGGAGAGUGGAAUUCCUGGUGUAGCGGUGGAAUGCGCAGAUAUCAGGAGGAACACCAAUAGCGAAGGCAGCUCGCUGGGACGUUACUGACACUGAGGCGCGAAAGCGUGGGGAGCGAACAGG
RNAcentral lists this ribosomal RNA (253 nucleotides) under uncultured bacterium. Its description in RNAcentral is "partial 16S ribosomal RNA". It matches the Rfam family "Bacterial small subunit ribosomal RNA", at positions 524 to 776 of the family's 1533-position model. The record is from RNAcentral.